This 503-nucleotide ribosomal RNA is filed under the name uncultured bacterium. Its description in RNAcentral is "partial 16S ribosomal RNA". It matches the Rfam family "Bacterial small subunit ribosomal RNA", at positions 28 to 505 of the family's 1533-position model. The record is from RNAcentral.
GACGAACGCUGGCGGCGUGCCUAAUACAUGCAAGUAGAACGCACAGUUUAUACCGUAGCUUGCUACACCAUAAACUGUGAGUUGCGAACGGGUGAGUAACGCGUAGGUAACCUGCCUGGUAGCGGGGGAUAACUAUUGGAAACGAUAGCUAAUACCGCAUAAUAUUAAUUAUUGCAUGAUAAUUGAUUGAAAGAUGCAAUUGCAUCACUACCAGAUGGACCUGCGUUGUAUUAGCUAGUAGGUGAGGUAACGGCUCACCUAGGCGACGAUACAUAGCCGACCGGAGAGGGUGAUCGGCCACACUGGGACUGAGACACGGCCCAGACUCCUACGGGAGGCAGCAGUAGGGAAUCUUCGGCAAUGGACGAAAGUCUGACCGAGCAACGCCGCGUGAGUGAAGAAGGUUUUCGGAUCGUAAAGCUCUGUUGUAAGAGAAGAACGGGUGUGAGAGUGGAAAGUUCACACUGUGACGGUAUCUUACCAGAAAGGGACGGCUAACUACG